CACCGGAAAUCUCCUCCAGUGAU
This 23-nucleotide small nuclear RNA is filed under the name Arabidopsis thaliana (thale cress). RNAcentral describes it as "snRNA_10720". The record is from RNAcentral. Lineage: Eukaryota; Viridiplantae; Streptophyta; Magnoliopsida; Brassicales; Brassicaceae.